GUGGGGAAUAUUGGACAAUGGGGGGAACCCUGAUCCAGCCAUGCCGCGUGUGUGAAGAAGGCCUUUUGGUUGUAAAGCACUUUAAGCGAGGAGGAGGCUUACCUGGUUAAUACCUGGGAUAAGUGGACGUUACUCGCAGAAUAAGCACCGGCUAACUCUGUGCCAGCAGCCGCGGUAAUACAGAGGGUGCAAGCGUUAAUCGGAUUUACUGGGCGUAAAGCGCGCGUAGGUGGCUAAUUAAGUCAAAUGUGAAAUCCCCGAGCUUAACUUGGGAAUUGCAUUCGAUACUGGUUAGCUAGAGUAUGGGAGAGGAUGGUAGAAUUCCAGGUGUAGCGGUGAAAUGCGUAGAGAUCUGGAGGAAUACCGAUGGCGAAGGCAGCCAUCUGGCCUAAUACUGACACUGAGGUGCGAAAGCAUGGGGAGCAAACAGGAUUAGAUACCCGGGUAGUCC
Molecule: ribosomal RNA, 451 nt
Filed under: uncultured bacterium
Lineage: Bacteria
Description: partial 16S ribosomal RNA
Rfam family: Bacterial small subunit ribosomal RNA
Source: RNAcentral